AUACGUAGGUGACAAGCGUUAUCCGGAUUUACUGGGCGUAAAGGGCGUGUAGGCGGUCUUGCAAGUCAGAAGUGAAAUUCCUGAGCUCAACUCGGGCGCUGCUUCUGAAACUGCAGGACUUGAGUGCUGGAGGGGAUAGCGGAAUUCCUAGUGGAGCGGUAAAAUGCGCAGAUAUUAGGAAGAACACCGGUGGCGAAGGCGGCUAACUGGACAGUAACGGACGCUGAGGCGCGAAGGCGUGGGGAGCAAACAGGAUUAGAUCCCCUGGUAGUCCACGCCGUAAACGAUGAAUACUAGGUGUAGGGGGUAUCGACUCCCUCUGUGCCGCAGUUAACACAAUAAGUAUUCCGCCUGGGGAGUACGGCCGCAAGGUUGAAACUUAAAUGAAUUGACGGGG
This 397-nucleotide ribosomal RNA is filed under the name uncultured bacterium. Its description in RNAcentral is "partial 16S ribosomal RNA". It matches the Rfam family "Bacterial small subunit ribosomal RNA", at positions 523 to 918 of the family's 1533-position model. The record is from RNAcentral.